CCUUCAUCACGAACAUGUGCGGCAGCGGCGUGAUCAUCAUCGCCCCCCCCUGGUCCUUCUUGAUCUUCGUUAGGCAGGCGAGCCCGUUGUCGCCGUCGAUGUUCAUGGCGCAGGAUCCGCAGAUGCCCUCGCGGCAGGAGCGGCGGAAGGUGAGCGACGGGUCCACCUCGUUCUUGAUCUUGAUGAGGGCGUCCAGCACCAUCGGCCCGCAGUCAUUGAGGUCGACCGCGAACUCCUCCAGGCGGGGCUUCCCCCCUCCCUCGGGGCUCCACCGGUAGAUCUGGAACGUCUUCAGGUUCGGAGAUUUCUUCCCGGCGGACGGCGCCGCCUCCGCCGCCGCCGUCGAGUGGCCCUGCGUCUGCUGGAGGAGCGGGCCCCGGACGGAGGGGGACGCCGCCGCGCAGACCUCUCUGAGCCCCCCGAGGACGGAGGAGGAGAGCGUGGA
RNAcentral lists this long non-coding RNA (445 nucleotides) under Spirodela polyrhiza (greater duckweed). RNAcentral's name for it is "long non-coding RNA (SPOL_LNC002491)". Lineage: Eukaryota; Viridiplantae; Streptophyta; Magnoliopsida; Alismatales; Araceae. The record is from RNAcentral.